CUAGGAUGAACGCUAGCGACAGGCCUAACACAUGCAAGUCAGGGGCAGCACAAGGAGCAAUCUGAGGUGGCGACCGGCGCACGGGUGAGUAACACGUAUGCAACCUGCCUGUAAGCGGGGAAUAACCCGUUGAAAGACGGACUAAUACCGCAUAAUACUAAAUUACUGCAUGGUAAUUUAUUUAAACAUUUAUGGCUUACAGAUGGGCAUGCGCAUGAUUAGCUAGUUGGAGAGGUAACGGCUCCCCAAGGCAACGAUCAUUAGGGGUUCUGAGAGGAGGGUCCCCCACACUGGUACUGAGACACGGACCAGACUCCUACGGGAGGCAGCAGUGAGGAAUAUUGGUCAAUGGACGAGAGUCUGAACCAGCCAAGUCGCGUGCAGGAAGAAUGUCCUAAUGGAUUGUAAACUGCUUUUGCAGGGGAAUAAAGUGCAUCACGUGUGAUGUUUUGUAUGUACUCUGCGAAUAAGGAUCGGCUAACUCCGUGCCAGCAGCCGC
Molecule: ribosomal RNA, 499 nt
Filed under: uncultured bacterium
Lineage: Bacteria
Description: bacterial SSU rRNA
Rfam family: Bacterial small subunit ribosomal RNA
Source: RNAcentral